GAGUAAAAGUCGUAACCAAGGU
RNAcentral lists this ribosomal RNA (22 nucleotides) under Cladosporium herbarum. RNAcentral describes it as "partial 18S ribosomal RNA". The record is from RNAcentral. Lineage: Eukaryota; Fungi; Ascomycota; Dothideomycetes; Cladosporiales; Cladosporiaceae.